This 2993-nucleotide long non-coding RNA is filed under the name Homo sapiens (human). RNAcentral's name for it is "HSALNT0356103". The record is from RNAcentral. Lineage: Eukaryota; Metazoa; Chordata; Mammalia; Primates; Hominidae.
CAAACAAACAACAACAAAAAAAAAACAAAAAAAGAAAGUAUUUUUAUUGACGUUAAAUAUAUACCUGCCCUACAAUUCAGCAAUUCUACUUCUAGGUAUUUAUCUAAGAGGAAUGAAGGGAUGUGUCUACAGAAAGACUUUUAUAAAAUAUUUAUAGUAACUUCUUUCUUUUAUUAAGCCCCUUCCAUUCUAGUACAUAGUAGCUUUAUUAAUAAUAACCAACUCAAUAAUUCAAACAUCCAUCAUUGGGAGAACAGACAAGUAGCUUAUGAUAUAGUCAUACUAUAGAAACCAUUCAAAAAUAAAAAAUAAUGAACUAUUGAUACAGGCAAUAUUGAUAAAUCUCAAAAAUGUUAUGUUGAACAAAAUAAGCUAAACACGAAAUAGUGCAUACACUUUGCUUUCAUUUAUAUGAAGUUCACAAAAAGACAAAAGUUAUAUCCAGAGAUAGAAAGCAGACAGUGGUUUCUUGUGGUAGGUGGGUAUUGACCAGAAGGCAGAAGUGAUGAAAACGUUUUUGCAGCUGUACACAUUUGUCAAAACUCAUCAAAUUGUAUGCCGCAGAUCUAUGCAUUUCUUUAUAAGUAAUUUUAGCUCAACAAAAUGAGCGAGAAGCAUAUUUAGCUACUCUUUUGUAAUUAUUCAUUAGCACAAAUAACCAGGAUUGACCUCAGAUGUUUUUGGAAUCUGAGAUGUCAAUCACAAGCCAAGAACAUUUCUAAACACAUCAAUUUGAAAAGAAGGAAACAAAUUGUCUUGGAAGCUAUUUUGUGCCCUUAGAAACUCUUGAAUUCCAUGAGAGUGCGUUUUUCUAGAUGAGGUCAUGGGCAUUUUCAGAGUCAUCAUAAAUUAGCCCGAGUGUCUGAAGAGGUCAUGCGGGGACAAGGGGAAGUUCCAGAACUUCUUAUUCUCACAGACUUUCCUUUCAUAAAGAAUCUUUCCUGGAAUUUAGGAUCUUGACACCUCCAGGUCUGUAGCUCAGUAACCACUAAAGAGCUUGGCUAUAAUCCUUUUCCCUGAAAGGCCUUGUCAGGAAGUGCCAAACAUCACCUGAAGGCAGCAGGAGGUAGAAGAGUGUGUGGAAAGGUACGCUGGAGGGUUGCUCUUUUUCAAUCUAAUAGGAAUAAAUUUGGGAUUUUUUUUUUAGCCCUUCUCAGUGUAGUGUUAUAAAAGCAGCAACAGAACAACAUCCAAAAAAAGAAUAAAAAAUAAUUUGUCUAAAAGUCUUGCACAGUAAUAACAGGAGGAUUCCACUUAUAUGACUCCAAAAUGUUGAAAUCAUCUUUCCCUAUAUUAUCAUUCUUUUAUUUUUUAAGACAGCAUACAACUGUCCUCAUUCUCUAGUUUUACUCACUAACAAUGCCAAAAAUUACUUCUCAAAAUUCAGCUAACAAGGGCUUUUCUCUGCCUUUACACUUCCUCCUGUCUUUCCAGACCCACUUCCUGCUUCUCCCAAUGGGUCUUCUCAACAUAAAUCAUUCUCUCCCGGAAUAUUUUCCAAUUCCUAGCUCUACGCACUCCCCCAGCUCACACCAAGGGACCUGGGAGCUUGGGAGGCAGACAGAAUUUUCCUUAGAAGAGGGGAAGGGGAAUAUUUUUCUCCCUGUAAUUUUAAAGUAUUGGCACGAUUCUGGAUGUAGACAUCACCUUCUUUUCUGAGAUUAUUUGAAGUGUCUGGUGCCUAUGGACUGUGGGAAAAUUUGAGAUGAUCAAUUCGGGAGUUGGAGGUGGGGGUGUAGGGUGGUAAACACUCAAGGCUUAGAAAUUGGGGCUCCCCACCCUGCACUAGGGUCUCACACAAAGGGGUUGGCACAGGGCUGAGAAGCAGUGGGGCUCCUGUCCACCCUGCCCAGCACCUACUCCCACCAGGCAACUGAGUGGUAUUUAGUCUGCAAGACUAGCCCAGAAACUUGAAUGGGACCCUGAGAGAGCCAGGGGUUCCUUGGGCCCCCGCUAGGGGACUUUCUGUUUGCCCUGGGUCUCCCUGUGUGGGCAGGGAUGGAGAGUGAGGGCCUGCCUUCAUGGCAGUAGGCUCUGAGUGGGUGACUGGCGCCAGGCCAAGUUCUAGGUGGGCUUCCCAAAGCCACAUUCAGGCAGGACGGAGCUGCUCUUGCACACGGUUUCGUGGGCUGGAUUUUCUCUGUUGCACACAUGCUUAGUAUCUGUCUCUCCCUUUGUUCCUGAGUGGUGGGCCGCACAUGAGGCUCUGAGCAGGCUAUAUCUCUAUUCUGGCAAUAAAAGUACUCUGGACACUGUUAAGGUGAGAAAAGAAAAGAAAUCGGGGCUCCCAGGAGGAGAAUCCUGAACCACGGGCUCUGCGGUGAUGUGGCCUUCCUCUUUAGUUUUUGUGCCUUUUAUGUGGGCAGAGGGAAAAAGAGACAGCCAGCAGUGAUCAUUAAUCCUGAAAAUGCCGAGGGCUUUGGCCUGGGACCCACACCAAGACAGAGUCAAACCGAGUUCUUCUAGUGUUGAGCGUGUUUCACAUCUUCCGUUGGAGUUUGCUGUGGAUGCUCAUUAGACAGACAUGGGCAGAAUCCCACUUGUUCCUCGUCCUUUUCCACCUCACCUCCAUCAUUGUGGCUGAAAUACACGAUCAUGGGUGUAUCUUUCCUUGUGGAUUUGUUGCCUCUAGGAGUUCUGUAUGCAGCUGAAGGGUAACAUCCCUUGGGAGCUUUUGCCUUGUCUGGCUGACGCCUUGGCAAUCGCAAGUGACAGUGACGGAGAGCCACCUCCUCUGGAAUGCAUCAUGGAACAGAAAGGGAAAAGCCAGGCAUUUGUAGUCCUCCUGCCACAGAUGACCAGAAUGACCUCACCCAGGACAAACGGCGACAGAUUUAGGAAUUCAAGCCAGCUUUUCUGACUCCCAGGCACCUGCUCUCUCCUUUCGAGUGUUCGACUCCACUCUCAGUCACUCGUCACUCUUCCCAGAAGGACAAAUGUGCAGCUUCUAUGUCUUGGAUUUCAAAUAAAAGACGAGGAACUUGGUGAAAUGA